This 253-nucleotide ribosomal RNA is filed under the name uncultured bacterium. Its description in RNAcentral is "partial 16S ribosomal RNA". It matches the Rfam family "Bacterial small subunit ribosomal RNA", at positions 524 to 776 of the family's 1533-position model. The record is from RNAcentral.
UACGUAGGGUGCAAGCGUUAAUCGGAAUUACUGGGCGUAAAGCGUGCGCAGGCGGUUAUGCAAGACAGAUGGGAAAUCCCCGGGCUCAACCUGGGAACUGCAUUUGUGACUGCAUGGCUAGAGUACGGUAGAGGGGGAUGGAAUUCCGCGUGUAGCAGUGAAAUGCGUAGAUAUGCGGAGGAACACCGAUGGCGAAGGCAAUCCCCUGGACCUGUACUGACGCUCAUGCACGAAAGCGUGGGGAGCAAACAGG